RNAcentral lists this ribosomal RNA (562 nucleotides) under Lactobacillus gasseri. Its description in RNAcentral is "bacterial SSU rRNA". It matches the Rfam family "Bacterial small subunit ribosomal RNA", at positions 1 to 526 of the family's 1533-position model. Lineage: Bacteria; Bacillati; Bacillota; Bacilli; Lactobacillales; Lactobacillaceae. The record is from RNAcentral.
UUGGAGAGUUUGAUCCUGGCUCAGGACGAACGCUGGCGGCGUGCCUAAUACAUGCAAGUCGAGCGAGCUUGCCUAGAUGAAUUUGGUGCUUGCACCAAAUGAAACUAGAUACAAGCGAGCGGCGGACGGGUGAGUAACACGUGGGUAACCUGCCCAAGAGACUGGGAUAACACCUGGAAACAGAUGCUAAUACCGGAUAACAACACUAGACGCAUGUCUAGAGUUUAAAAGAUGGUUCUGCUAUCACUCUUGGAUGGACCUGCGGUGCAUUAGCUAGUUGGUAAGGUAACGGCUUACCAAGGCAAUGAUGCAUAGCCGAGUUGAGAGACUGAUCGGCCACAUUGGGACUGAGACACGGCCCAAACUCCUACGGGAGGCAGCAGUAGGGAAUCUUCCACAAUGGACGCAAGUCUGAUGGAGCAACGCCGCGUGAGUGAAGAAGGGUUUCGGCUCGUAAAGCUCUGUUGGUAGUGAAGAAAGAUAGAGGUAGUAACUGGCCUUAUUUGGACGGUAAUUACUUAGAAAGUCACGGCUAACUACGUGCCAGCAGCCGCGGUAAUAA